Long non-coding RNA from Panthera uncia (snow leopard), 1544 nucleotides. RefSeq lists it as uncharacterized. Lineage: Eukaryota; Metazoa; Chordata; Mammalia; Carnivora; Felidae. The transcript is spliced from 2 exons. The record is from RefSeq and is a predicted model, not a curated record.
AGUCAUGUGACCGCCGAAGUCUUUGGUGUCACCUCGGGCUCUUUAGCCUGGCGGUGACUAUACGAACAACCAGAGACUACAUAUCCCAGAAUACCAACUGGAUCCUGGUUUAUGAGGCGCCCCCGCACCUCCUCCACGAGAGGGAUAACUACAAAUCCCGGCAUGCUGUGAGAUCCCGGCGCUGCUCUGUGAUUGGGAGACUCCGGGCCUGUGCGGAAGUAGAUUGAGCCCCCUCCUUAGCUGGAAAACCGGAACCUCGUUCUGGUUUUUCGUGUGAGUGCCUGCUCCGGACUCUAGCCGGAAAGAGGAGGAAAGACGAAAGUCGUUCCUCUGUCCCCUGUCCACCUACAUCCGAGUUACUAAGAGAUGGAAACAGAAGGGCCUUUACGAUGUAGUCCUGAUUUUACACGUUCCAGCCACAUGUUGCCUCCACAAAGGAUUGUCACAGCUGCAAAUACCAGAAACAAAAGAUACAAGUUUCAGACAUAAGAAAAAAGAUUAAAAUUCGAGCGCUUUCCACCCCUCACAAUUUGCCUGAGUGGAAAAAGGAAGAACUGAUGGGAAAUUCAAAGAAUUUUUUGCUUUGCUCUGCAUCUCUGCAAAGGAAGAAGAGGAAGGUACAAUCUGUGGGGAUUGAUGACCGACGACAGAGCCUGGAAGGCUCCAUGGCUACAGCAGAGACAGGUGGUUACAGUGGCACUCUGCAAAGCUCGCCCACCACAAGCCCUGGAAGUCACAUGCAGCCCUGGGAGGAGAGAUUGUGUGACAUAACGGAUCAGGAGUAAGAUUAGGUCUCUCCAAGCCUAUCAAAUACAGUCUUGAAAUCCAAUUAGAAAAAUAAACAUGUAAGUUUGUGGCAUAGAAAACAUACCCACUUUACUUACCUAGUUCAAAUGUCUGCUACCCGAGUGUCCCCAAGUCUUCAAAACUGCUGGAGUAACCAUAUCUCCGUCACAUAUACAGCAGGAAACCUAAUCUCAAUGCCGACAUCUUUUAGAACGCUUGGAGCUAAUGGCUUUUUGUUUGUUUGUUUUCCUAUUAUUUCCUGCUUCUGCUGAAUUCUUGAUUUCUUUUGAGUCUGGCUUCUUAUGGCGGUUCUUUUUCUCCAUCCCACAUCAUUUCCAAGGCAGAACACAACCUCUUUUGCUUUGUUUUCUCAAAAUCCCAUGGAAACAAGGCAUCUCUGUGUGGUAUAGUGCAUUCCACUGAAAAUUUGGAGUUAACGGUAUAAGAUAGGGGAGAAGAAAGAGAAAUUUAUACCACAGCUAUUUGGACACCCCUGUUCUUUUUUAAAGAUCUUUGGCCGUAGCCCAGAACUUCUCUCUGGCUGCCUUUUAUCCAACUCCCUGUCAUAUUGACACAUUCUUUCUUCAUAUCCUAUUCCCCAGUCUUAUCACUUCCCCCUCUUGACCUUUUUCCUCCUAGGUUACCCAUGAAAACUCCAAAUUCUUCACUAAUUUUUCAUGGACAGAACAAUUUUGUUUUCUUGGUCUUGCCUCUGGCUUAUCCCAGCUAGACCCACUAUUAAAAUGCUCUUCCUCUGC